GGAACAAAAAAUUGGCAUUAGAGUAAACUAAAGUGAACUAAAAUACACUAAAUUGCUUUGGCAUUAAAACACUCGAAAUCGUUUUGUCCUUAGCCGGGCACGUGGGUUCGAAUCCCACCAUCUCCGCCA
Molecule: transfer RNA, 129 nt
Filed under: Oscillospiraceae bacterium
Lineage: Bacteria; Bacillati; Bacillota; Clostridia; Eubacteriales; Oscillospiraceae
Description: tRNA-Ser
Source: RNAcentral